RNAcentral lists this ribosomal RNA (301 nucleotides) under uncultured bacterium. RNAcentral's name for it is "partial 16S ribosomal RNA". It matches the Rfam family "Bacterial small subunit ribosomal RNA", at positions 509 to 807 of the family's 1533-position model. The record is from RNAcentral.
CAGUCGCCGCGGUAAUACGAAGGGGGCUAGCGUUGUUCGGAUUUACUGGGCGUAAAGCGCACGUAGGCGGACUUUUAAGUCAGGGGUGAAAUCCCGGGGCUCAACCCCGGAACUGCCUUUGAUAAUGGAAGUCUUGAGUAUGGUAGAGGUGAGUGGAAUUCCGAGUGUAGAGGUGAAAUUCGUAGAUAUUCGGAGGAACACCAGUGGCGAAGGCGGCUCACUGGACCAUUACUGACGCUGAGGUGCGAAAGCGUGGGGAGCAAACAGGAUUAGAUACCCCAGUAGUCCCUGUCUCUUAUAC